Molecule: ribosomal RNA, 252 nt
Filed under: uncultured bacterium
Lineage: Bacteria
Description: partial 16S ribosomal RNA
Rfam family: Bacterial small subunit ribosomal RNA
Source: RNAcentral
UACGGGGGGGUAAGCGUUGUUCGGAAUUACUGGGCGUAAAGGGCUCGUAGGCGGCCAACUAAGUCACACGUGAAAUCCCUCAGCUUAACUGAGGAACUGCGUGUGAUACUGGAUGGCUUGGAUCCGGGAGAGGGAUGCGGAAUUCCAGGUGUAGCGGUGAAAUGCGUAGAUAUCUGGAGGAACACCGGUGGCGAAGGCGGCAUCCUGGACCGGUAUUGACGCUGAGGAGCGAAAGCCAGGGGAGCAAACGGG